GAUGAACGCUAGCUACAGGCUUAACACAUGCAAGUCGAGGGGAAACGACAUCGAAAGCUUGCUUUUGAUGGGCGUCGACCGGCGCACGGGUGAGUAACGCGUAUCCAACCUGCCCAUCACUUGGGAAUAACCUUGCGAAAGUAAGACUAAUACCCAAUGACAUCCCACGAAGACAUCUGAAUGGGAUUAAAGAUUUAUCGGUGAUGGAUGGGGAUGCGUCUGAUUAGCUUGUUGGCGGGGUAACGGCCCACCAAGGCAACGAUCAGUAGGGGUUCUGAGAGGGAGGUCCCCCACAUUGGAACUGAGACACGGUCCAAACUCCUACGGGAGGCAGCAGUGAGGAAUAUUGGUCAAUGGGCGAGAGCCUGAACCAGCCAAGUAGCGUGCAGGAUGACGGCCCUAUGGGUUGUAAACUGCUUUUAUAAGGGAAUAAAGUGGGUCUCGUGAGACUUUUUGCAUGUACCUUAUGAAUAAGGACCGGCUAAUUCCGUG
Molecule: ribosomal RNA, 492 nt
Filed under: uncultured bacterium
Lineage: Bacteria
Description: partial 16S ribosomal RNA
Rfam family: Bacterial small subunit ribosomal RNA
Source: RNAcentral